Molecule: ribosomal RNA, 406 nt
Filed under: uncultured bacterium
Lineage: Bacteria
Description: partial 16S ribosomal RNA
Rfam family: Bacterial small subunit ribosomal RNA
Source: RNAcentral
AUUGAACGCUGGCUUCAGGCCUAACACAUGCAAGUCGAGCGAGCGGCGGACGGUUGAGUAAUGUCUGUGAAACUGCCUUAUUGAGGUGGAUAACUACUGUAACCGUUAUCUAAUACCGCAUACCAUCAUAUGUGCCCAGAUGGGAUUAGCUAGUAGGUGGGGUAACUGCUCACCUAGGCGACGAUCCCUAGCUGGUCUGAUGGGUUGACCAGCAACACUGGAACUGAGACACGGUCCAGACUCCUACGGGAGGCAGCAGUGGGGAAUAUUGCACAAUGGGCGCAAGCCUGAUGCAGCCAUGGCGCGUGGGUGAAGAGGGACUUCGGGUUGUAAAGCACUUACAGCGGGGAGGCGUUAACAGCAGAAGAAGCACCGACGAACUCCGUGACAGCAGACGCGGUAAUUC